AUUGAACGCUGGCGGCAGGCCUAACACAUGCAAGUCGAGCGGAUGAAGGGAGCUUGCUCCUGGAUUCAGCGGCGGACGGGUGAGUAAUGCCUAGGAAUCUGCCUGGUAGUGGGGGAUAACGUCCGGAAACGGGCGCUAAUACCGCAUACGUCCUGAGGGAGAAAGUGGGGGAUCUUCGGACCUCACGCUAUCAGAUGAGCCUAGGUCGGAUUAGCUAGUUGGUGGGGUAAAGGCCUACCAAGGCGACGAUCCGUAACUGGUCUGAGAGGAUGAUCAGUCACACUGGAACUGAGACACGGUCCAGACUCCUACGGGAGGCAGCAGUGGGGAAUAUUGGACAAUGGGCGAAAGCCUGAUCCAGCCAUGCCGCGUGUGUGAAGAAGGUCUUCGGAUUGUAAAGCACUUUAAGUUGGGAGGAAGGGCAGUAAGUUAAUACCUUGC
RNAcentral lists this ribosomal RNA (441 nucleotides) under Pseudomonas aeruginosa. RNAcentral describes it as "bacterial SSU rRNA". It matches the Rfam family "Bacterial small subunit ribosomal RNA", at positions 30 to 472 of the family's 1533-position model. The record is from RNAcentral. Lineage: Bacteria; Pseudomonadati; Pseudomonadota; Gammaproteobacteria; Pseudomonadales; Pseudomonadaceae.